GCUCCAGCUUAUCGCUCGUUCGCUGGCUUGCUUCUGGCCGCUGGAAAGAGUGCCUUUGGGUAGCCUAAUAGAGGGAGGCUCACAGCCCUGCCGUGUACAGAGCAGGGCAGAUAGCACCCCCCUCCACCACCUCCCGCACCAGCCCUCCUUCCGCUCCGAGCCUUAGCCGCUGGUGUGGGGCAGCAACCAAGCCAACUCCGGGGCUUCCCUUCUCGUGCGCUGGCCCUUCGUGGCUUGAUUCCUGGACUUCAUGAUGACAGACAGGCUGAUCAUAGUUUUUCUGGAGUUCUGUGUACUGGAUCUUCUUUCCUUUCCUUGUUUACCUUGGUGUAAACAGCUUAUAUGUGCAUUUAAAGACUGGGGUGAAAGCUGGCAUGAUAUAAUUACCACUGUAGUGGGUGAUAAUAAAAUUCCAUUCAUUU
Long non-coding RNA from Candoia aspera, 422 nucleotides. RefSeq lists it as uncharacterized. NCBI's taxonomy places the organism in Eukaryota, Metazoa, Chordata, Lepidosauria, Squamata, Candoiidae. The transcript is spliced from 2 exons. The record is from RefSeq and is a predicted model, not a curated record.